RNAcentral lists this ribosomal RNA (253 nucleotides) under uncultured bacterium. RNAcentral's name for it is "partial 16S ribosomal RNA". It matches the Rfam family "Bacterial small subunit ribosomal RNA", at positions 524 to 776 of the family's 1533-position model. The record is from RNAcentral.
UACGAAGGGGGCUAGCGUUGCUCGGAAUUACUGGGCGUAAAGGGCGCGUAGGCGGUUUGCACAGUCAGAUGUGAAAUUCCUGGGCUCAACCUGGGGGCUGCAUUUGAUACGUGUAGACUUGAGUGGGGAAGAGGGUCGUGGAAUUCCCAGUGUAGAGGUGAAAUUCGUAGAUAUUGGGAAGAACACCAGUGGCGAAGGCGGCGACCUGGUCCUUGACUGACGCUGAGGCGCGAAAGCGUGGGGAGCAAACAGG